UACAGCCACAUCAAGUUGAAAGACCUGUCCACGUACGAUCACCGAAGUUAAGCAACGUUGAGCCUGGUCAGUAUCUAAAUGGGUGACUGCUUGGGAAUACUAGGUGCU
Non-coding RNA from Acanthosepion pharaonis, 108 nucleotides. NCBI's taxonomy places the organism in Eukaryota, Metazoa, Mollusca, Cephalopoda, Sepiida, Sepiidae. The record is from the annotation of a GenBank genome assembly.